This 429-nucleotide ribosomal RNA is filed under the name Triticum aestivum (bread wheat). RNAcentral's name for it is "partial small subunit ribosomal RNA". Lineage: Eukaryota; Viridiplantae; Streptophyta; Magnoliopsida; Poales; Poaceae. The record is from RNAcentral.
GAAAGCUUGCUGCAUUGGGAUUUUGCCCCGGGCCUUGCCCUUGCAGACCAGGUGAGAAGGAAAUUUGGGUCCACUGUUCAUUUCUCUCCUUCCCGAGACGCCAAAGAUUUCUUUUUGGUCGUUUCCUUCUCCUCGGCCUCCUUUCCUCUUGAUGUUGAAACAGUGGGGAUUGCCUUGCAAUGCUGUCUUGGAGGGAUUUCUUCUGGCUUUAGGGUGUCUCAGAUUAAUGCCCGGUCCUGUCGCUUCUCUAUGGCUAAUAACAAAGUGGGACAUUUUGUCUAUGGUCUCAAAGGCCGUAUUUGGCCUGACUUUGUUUGCCAUUUCCAUCUGUUCAAUGGACGUUUUGCUAAAGCUCAUUCUAUUGAUCGUCAUUGGCAUGCUGAUACUGAGCUGGUUGAAAAAUCGUGGACCGGAAACCCAUUGCUCUAA